Sus scrofa (pig) is the source of this 1107-nucleotide non-coding RNA. NCBI's taxonomy places the organism in Eukaryota, Metazoa, Chordata, Mammalia, Artiodactyla, Suidae. The record is from RefSeq and is a predicted model, not a curated record.
AGACAUUUCCCAGGCUGACCAUAAAAGCCAAAAAGUUGGCAGUGGCCCCAUUCCUGGAGAUCUCCCCCCUUGUCCAAAAUAGAACAAUCCUCCCACGUCUUAGCCUAUGAAAACUAACCACUCCCACACCUACAGAGUGUGUAUCUCUCUAAACACACCUGCUUUCACUUUACUAUGACUCGCUCUUGGCUCUUGAAUUCUUUCCUGAGUGAAGUCAAGGACUCCCAUUUGAUGGCAUAUUCCAGGGACUCACUUGAGAGACCUGGAACAUGACCAUCCCCUCAUGCCCCAUUUCUCCUGCGACACGUGUGGCUCACAUUAUAUUUUUAUUGGAGAGCUCUCCCUUCAAAGUUUCCAGUGUCAGAAUAUUUUUGCAUCUUGCCUUUGUCUGGCCCUUUCGUGCAAGAUGCUUGCCAGGCUCUAAAAAGGCUGAGAGAAGGAACCUCACUGAAAUUACCGUCCACAGUUUGGGGAAGUCUAUGAUCAAGGACCAGGCAGUUUAGAUGUCUGCUAAAGUCGGGCUAGCCAAGAGAGAAGGUGAUAGUUCUAUACCUCAUGGUUAUGUCAGUCUAAAGUGGCAUUAAAAAAUACUAUGAAUAAAUCAUCAAGUCCGUGACCUAUUGAGAGUUUAACAGGAGCCAAGUUCAAGAGGACAUAAGAACAACAAAGUCAGUGAAGGAACCCAUUGGAAGUCAGUUAUUUAAUGCCCUUUCUGCUUCCUCGACUUAAUGAAAGGCAACUCGUUUUUCAAUUUGGGUCACCAAAUACCACCUUGCUUCGAAAUCUUCCCUCUCUCCCCUUCAGUUGAGAAAGGAGGCUGCCAAGAAGUCAGAACAAUGGAAGCUAAGCAAAGAUACAGAAUCAAUUUCUGAAGACCACGAGGGAAGAAGCUGAUGAAGACUCUAUGUAUAGUUAGAUAAUGGGACGUUUCAUCCCUGGAAAGAUAAUAUUAAUAACUGCUGGAGGAGGGGAGAACUGUGGAGCAAAGAAUCUUGAGGGUGAGCAGUGCUGCUCAAACCACCUGUGGCAAUAGAUCAGUUUUAAAUUUCCAAUCCAGGAGUUCCCGUCGUGGCGCAGUGGUUAACGAAUCCGACUAGGAACCAUGAG